UUCGCAAGAGACCAAGUAAAGUGGCGGACGGGUGAGUAAUGCAUAGAUAACUUGCCCCUGAGAUGGGAAUAACGCUUCGAAAGGAGUGCUAAUACCCAAUGCCGUCUCGGCGCGUUGGCGCUGAGAUGAAAGGAGGCCUCUGAUUCAAGCUUCCGCUCAGGGAGAGGUUUAUGUCCUAUUAGCUAGUUGGUGAGGUAAUGGCUCACCAAGGCUGCGAUGGGUAGCCGACCUGAGAGGGUGACCGGCCACACUGGGACCGAGACACUGCCCAGACUCCUACGGGAGGCUGCAGUCGAGGAUCUUCCGCAAUGGGCGCAAGCCUGACGGAGCGACGCCGCGUGGGUGAUGAAGGCCUUCGGGUUGUAAAACCCUGUUAGCUACAGUGAAACGCAGGUGGUGAACAGCCAUCCUGCCUGACGUAAGUAGCAAAGAAAGCACCGGCUAACUACGUGCCAGCAGCCGCGGUAAUACGUAGGGUGCGAACGUUGUUCGGAAUCACUGGGCAUAAAGAGCGCGUAGGCGGUCUAAUAAGUCCUUUGUGAAAGCCCCCGGCUUAACCGGGGAAUUGCAUUGGAUACUGUUGGACUAGAGUACAGGAGGGGAGAGCGGAAUUCCUGGUGGAGCGGUGAAAUGCGUAGAUAUCAGGAGGAACGCCGGCGGCGAAAGCGGCUCUCUGGUCUGUCACUGACGCUG
This 693-nucleotide ribosomal RNA is filed under the name uncultured Planctomycetota bacterium. RNAcentral describes it as "bacterial SSU rRNA". It matches the Rfam family "Bacterial small subunit ribosomal RNA", at positions 76 to 748 of the family's 1533-position model. Lineage: Bacteria; Pseudomonadati; Planctomycetota. The record is from RNAcentral.